GACAUUAGGUUUAUUGGAUUGGUC
This 24-nucleotide non-coding RNA is filed under the name Arabidopsis thaliana (thale cress). Lineage: Eukaryota; Viridiplantae; Streptophyta; Magnoliopsida; Brassicales; Brassicaceae. The record is from RNAcentral.